Molecule: RNA transcript, 763 nt
Organism: Cercocebus atys (sooty mangabey)
Lineage: Eukaryota; Metazoa; Chordata; Mammalia; Primates; Cercopithecidae
Gene name: 60S ribosomal protein L8 pseudogene
Exons: 1
Source: RefSeq, a predicted model, not a curated record
AUGGGCCGCGUGAUCAAAGGGCAGAGGAAGGGCGCCGGGUCUGUGUUCCCUGCGCAAGUGAAGCACCUUUAAGGCUCCGCGUGCCUGGACGCCGUAGAUUUCGCGGAGCGGCACGGCUACAUCAAGGGCACUCUGAAGUACGUCAUCCACUACCCGGGCCGCAGCGCGCCCCUCGCCAAGGUGGUUUUCCGAGAUCCGUACCGGUUUAAAAAGCAAACGGAGCUAUUCAUUGCCGCCGAGGGCAUUCACACAGGCCAGUUUGUGUAUUGCGGCAAGACGGCUCAGCUCAACGUUGACAAUAUGCUCCCUGUGGGCCCCAUGACUGAGGGUACAAUCGUGUGCUGCCUGAAGGAGAAACCUGGAGACUGUGGCAAGCUGGCCCAGGCAUCAGGGAACUAUGUCACCGUUAUCUCCUACAACCCUGAGACCAAGAAGACCCAUGUGAAGCUGCCCUCUGGCUCCAAGAAGGUUAUCUCCUCAGCCAACAGAGCUGUGGUUGGUGUGGUGGCUGGAGGUGGCCGAACUGACAAACCCAUCUUGAAGGCUGGCAGGGCCUACUACAAAUAUAAGGCAAAGAGGAAUUGCUGGCCACGAGUAGUGGAACCCUGUGGAGCAUCCUUUUGAAGGUGGUAACCCCCAGCACAUUGGCAAGCCCUCCAUCAUCCGCAGAGAUGCCCCUGCUGGCUGCAAAGUGGGUCUCACUGCUGCCCACCCGACUGGACUUCUCCAAGGAACCAAGACUGUGCAGGAGAAAGAGAGCUAG